UACGUAGGAUGCAAGCGUUGUCCGGAUUUACUGGGCGUAAAGCGCGCGCAGGCGGCAGUACAAGUACCCUCUGAAAUCUCCUUGCUCAACGAGGAGGGUGGAGGGGUAGACUGUGCAGCUAGAGGAGGGUAGAGGGGGGGUAGAAUUGCUGGUGUAGCGGUGAAAUGCGUAGAGAUCAGCAGGAAUACCCGUGGCGAAGGCGGCCCCCUGGGCCCCUAAAAACCCUUUUCAUGGGGAAAACCAUG
Molecule: ribosomal RNA, 245 nt
Filed under: uncultured bacterium
Lineage: Bacteria
Description: partial 16S ribosomal RNA
Rfam family: Bacterial small subunit ribosomal RNA
Source: RNAcentral